RNAcentral lists this ribosomal RNA (319 nucleotides) under uncultured eukaryote. RNAcentral describes it as "partial 18S ribosomal RNA". It matches the Rfam family "Eukaryotic small subunit ribosomal RNA", at positions 1470 to 1796 of the family's 1831-position model. The record is from RNAcentral.
CCCUUAGAUGUUCUGGGCAGCACGCGCGCUACAAUGGUCUUCGCAAACGGAUGCAUUCUCGAAGGAGAAUGCCAAUCUUGGAAUCUAUGCCUUGGUCGGGACAGUUGCUUGCAAUUUUUCGACUCGAACCAGGAAUUCCUUGUAAUCGUGAUUCAUCACAUCACGAUGAAUUCGUCCCUGCCCUUUGUACACACCGCCCGUCGCUCCUACCGAUCGAAGAGUUAGGUGAAUUGUUUUGAUCGAUAAGAUUUGACUAUGGUCAACUCUCGUUGUGAAAUUCUGUGAAUCUGACUGUUUAGAGGAAGGAAAAGUCGUAACA